RNAcentral lists this ribosomal RNA (301 nucleotides) under SAR202 cluster bacterium. RNAcentral's name for it is "partial 16S ribosomal RNA". It matches the Rfam family "Bacterial small subunit ribosomal RNA", at positions 1 to 291 of the family's 1533-position model. Lineage: Bacteria; Bacillati; Chloroflexota; Dehalococcoidia. The record is from RNAcentral.
UUUUUAACGGAGAGUUUGAUCCUGGCUCAGGACGAACGUUGGCGGCACGCCUAAUGCAUGCAAGUCGAACGAAAUCCCACCGCUUGCGGUGGUGUAUUUAGUGGCAGACGGCUGAGUAACGCGUAACUAAUCUGCCUUUGGGAGGGGAAUAACAAAGGGAAACUUUUGCUAAUACCCCGUACGAUCUGUAUUUUACUUUUUAUAGAUGAAAGGUGUCUUUGACAUCGCCCUUAGAUGAGGUUGCGUACUAUCAGGUAGUUGGUGGGGUAAUGGCCUACCAAGCCUAAGACGGUUAGCUGGU